Molecule: ribosomal RNA, 458 nt
Filed under: uncultured bacterium
Lineage: Bacteria
Description: partial 16S ribosomal RNA
Rfam family: Bacterial small subunit ribosomal RNA
Source: RNAcentral
CUACGGGCGGCUGCAGUGAGGAAUAUUGGUCAAUGGGCGAGAGCCUGAACCAGCCAAUCCGCGUGCAGGAUGACGGCCCUAUGGGUUGUAAACUGCUUUUGUAUGGGAAGAACUCCCUGACGUGUCAGGGGCUGACGGUACCAUACGAAUAAGCAUCGGCUAACUCCGUGCCAGCAGCCGCGGUAAUACGGAGGAUGCGAGCGUUAUCCGGAUUUAUUAGGUUUAAAGGGUGCGUAGGCUGAAUAGUCAGUCAGUGGUGAAAUCCUACGGCUUAACCGUAGAACUGCCAUUGAUACUGCUAUUCUUGAGUACAGUUGAGGUAGGCGGAAUGUGUAGUGUAGCGGUGAAAUGCUUAGAUAUUACACAGAACACCGAUUGCGAAGGCAGCUUACUAAACUGUCACUGACGCUGAGGCACGAAAGCGUGGGGAGCGAACAGGAUUAGAUACCCUAGUAGUC